This 277-nucleotide ribosomal RNA is filed under the name uncultured bacterium. Its description in RNAcentral is "partial 16S ribosomal RNA". It matches the Rfam family "Bacterial small subunit ribosomal RNA", at positions 336 to 630 of the family's 1533-position model. The record is from RNAcentral.
CUCUUACGGGAGGCAGCAGUGGGGAAUAUUGGACAAUGGGCGCAAGCAUGAUCCAGCCAUGCCGCGUGAGUGAUGAAGGCCCUAGGGUUGUAAAGCUCUUUCACCGGUGAAGAUAAUGACGGUAACCGGAGAAGAAGCCCCGGCUAACUUCGUGCCAGCAGCCGCGGUAAUACGAAGGGGGCUAGCGUUGUUCGGAAUUACUGGGCGUAAAGCGCACGUAGGCGGAUUGUUAAGUGAGGGGUGAAAUCCCAGGGCUCAACCCUGGAACUGCCUUUCA